GAUGAACGCUGGCGGCGUGCCUAAUACAUGCAAGUCGAGCGAACGGACGAGAAGCUUGCUGCUCUGAUGUUAGCGGCGGACGGGUGAGUAACACGUGGAUAACCUACCUAUAAGACUGGGAUAACUUCGGGAAACCGGAGCUAAUACCGGAUAAUAUUUUGAACCGCAUGGUUCAAAAGUGAAAGACGGUCUUGCUGUCACUUAUAGAUGGAUCCGCGCUGCAUUAGCUAGUUGGUAAGGUAACGGCUUACCAAGGCAACGAUGCAUAGCCGACCUGAGAGGGUGAUCGGCCACACUGGAACUGAGACACGGUCCAGACUCCUACGGGAGGCAGCAGUAGGGAAUCUUCCGCAAUGGGCGAGAGCCUGACGGAGCAACGCCGCGUGAGUGAUGAAGGUCUUCGGAUCGUAAAACUCUGUUAUUAGGGAAGAACAUAUGUGUAAGUAACUGUGCACAUCUUGACGGUACCUAAUCAGAAAGCCCCGGCUAACUACGUG
This 497-nucleotide ribosomal RNA is filed under the name uncultured bacterium. RNAcentral describes it as "partial 16S ribosomal RNA". It matches the Rfam family "Bacterial small subunit ribosomal RNA", at positions 28 to 507 of the family's 1533-position model. The record is from RNAcentral.